AGGAAAAGAAACCAACCGGGAUUGCCUUAGUACACGGCGAGUGAAGCGGCAAAAGCUCAAAUUUGAAAUCUGGUACCUUCGGUGCCCGAGUUGUAAUUUGGAGAGGGCAACUUUGGGGCCGUUCCUUGUCUAUGUUCCUUGGAACAGGACGUCAUAGAGGGUGAGAAUCCCGUGUGGCGAGGAGUGCGGUUCUUUGUAAAGUGCCUUCGAAGAGUCGAGUUGUUUGGGAAUGCAGCUCUAAGUGGGUGGUAAAUUCCAUCUAAAGCUAAAUAUUGGCGAGAGACCGAUAGCGAACAAGUACAGUGAUGGAAAGAUGAAAAGAACUUUGAAAAGAGAGUGAAAAAGUACGUGAAAUUGUUGAAAGGGAAGGGCAUUUGAUCAGACAUGGUGUUUUGUGCCCUCUGCUCCUUGUGGGUAGGGGAAUCUCGCAUUUCACUGGGCCAGCAUCAGUUUUGGUGGCAGGAUAAAUCCAUAGGAAUGUAGCUUGCCUCGGUAAGUAUUAUAGCCUGUGCGGAAUACUGCCUAGCGUGGGACUGAGGACUGCGACGUAAGUCAAGGAUGCUGGCAUAAUGGUUAUAUGCCGCCCG
RNAcentral lists this ribosomal RNA (587 nucleotides) under Saccharomyces cerevisiae (brewer's yeast). Its description in RNAcentral is "eukaryotic LSU rRNA". It matches the Rfam family "Eukaryotic large subunit ribosomal RNA", at positions 54 to 651 of the family's 3401-position model. Lineage: Eukaryota; Fungi; Ascomycota; Saccharomycetes; Saccharomycetales; Saccharomycetaceae. The record is from RNAcentral.